GGUGGCUCAGUGGUAGAGUGCUUGCCUCGCAUGCAUGAGGCUCUGGGUUCGAAUCCUGAGCACCA
RNAcentral lists this transfer RNA (65 nucleotides) under Dipodomys ordii (Ord's kangaroo rat). It matches the Rfam family "tRNA". From Rfam's summary of the family: Transfer RNA (tRNA) molecules are approximately 80 nucleotides in length. Their secondary structure includes four short double-helical elements and three loops (D, anti-codon, and T loops). Lineage: Eukaryota; Metazoa; Chordata; Mammalia; Rodentia; Heteromyidae. The record is from Rfam by way of RNAcentral.